Molecule: ribosomal RNA, 1482 nt
Filed under: metagenome
Description: bacterial SSU rRNA
Rfam family: Bacterial small subunit ribosomal RNA
Source: RNAcentral
AGAGUUUGAUCAUGGCUCAGAAUCAACGCUGGCGGCGUGCCUAACACAUGCAAGUCGAACGGGAAAGUUCUUUUCGGAGAGCGAGUAAAGUGGCGAACGGGUGAGUAACGCGUGGGUGAUCUACCCUUUGGUGGGGGAUAACCCGGGGAAACCCGGGCUAAUACCGCAUGAGCCUAAAGUUGUAAGCGAUUUUAGGGAAAGUUUUCGAAUGCCGAAGGAGGAGCCCGCGUCCGAUUAGCUAGUUGGUGAGGUAAGAGCUCACCAAGGCAACGAUCGGUAGCCGGUCUGAGAGGACGGACGGUCACACUGGGACUGAGACACGGCCCAGACUCCUACGGGAGGCAGCAGUGGGGAAUUUUGGGCAAUGGGCGAAAGCCUGACCCAGCAACGCCGCGUGGAGGAUGAAGGUUUUCGGAUCGUAAACUCCUGUCCAGAGGGACGAAGCAAGUGACGGUACCUCUGGAGGAAGCCCCGGCUAACUCCGUGCCAGCAGCCGCGGUAAUACGGGGGGGGCGAGCGUUGUUCGGAAUUACUGGGCGUAAAGGGCGCGUAGGCGGUUUCGGAAGUCAUGGGUGAAAGUCCUCGGCUCAACCGAGGGAUUGCCUGUGAAACCACGGGACUGGAGUGCUGGAGAGGGAAGUGGAAUUCCCAGUGUAGCGGUGAAAUGCGUAGAUAUUGGGAGGAACACCUGUGGCGAAGGCGGCUUCCUGGACAGACACUGACGCUGAGGCGCGAAAGCCAGGGGAGCAAACGGGAUUAGAUACCCCGGUAGUCCUGGCUGUAAACGAUGAACACUUGGUGUAGGGGGUGAUGAAAGUCCCUCUAUGCCGGAGAGAACUCAUUAAGUGUUCCGCCUGGGGAGUACGGCCGCAAGGCUGAAACUCAAAGGAAUUGACGGGGGCCCGCACAAGCGGUGGAGCAUGUGGUUUAAUUCGACGCAACGCGAAGAACCUUACCGGGGUUUGAACUGCGCUUGAGCGAUCUAGAGAUGGAGAGGUUCCCUUAGGGGACAGGUGCAGAGGUGCUGCAUGGCUGUCGUCAGCUCGUGUCGUGAGAUGUUGGGUUAAGUCCCGCAACGAGCGCAACCCUUGUCUGUAGUUGCCAUCAGGUAAAGCUGGGCACUCUACGGAGACUGUCGGCGAGAAGCCGGAGGAAGGUGGGGAUGACGUCAAGUCCUCAUGGCCUUUAUGUCCCGGGCUACACACGUGCUACAAUGGGCGGUACAGAGGGCAGCGACCCUGUGAAGGCAAGCGAAUCCCAGAAAACCGCUCUCAGUUCGGAUUGCAGUCUGCAACUCGACUGCAUGAAGUUGGAAUCGCUAGUAAUCGCGGAUCAGAACGCCGCGGUGAAUACGUUCCCGGGCCUUGUACACACCGCCCGUCACAUCACGAAAGUGGGCUGUACUAGAAGCCGCCGGCCUAACCUUAGGGAAGGAGGCGUCGACGGUAUGGCUCAUGAUUGGGGUGAAGUCGUAACAAGGUA